Molecule: ribosomal RNA, 549 nt
Filed under: uncultured Glomus
Lineage: Eukaryota; Fungi; Glomeromycota; Glomeromycetes; Glomerales; Glomeraceae
Description: SSU rRNA
Rfam family: Eukaryotic small subunit ribosomal RNA
Source: RNAcentral
UUGGAGGGCAAGUCUGGUGCCAGCAGCCGCGGUAAUUCCAGCUCCAAUAGCGUAUAUUAAAGUUGUUGCAGUUAAAAAGCUCGUAGUUGAAUUUCGGAAUCAAUAUGUUGGUCGUGCCAUUGGUACGUACUGGCAUUAUUGGUUUCUACCUUCUGAAGAACCUCGAUGUCAUUAAUUUGGUGUCUUGGGGAAUCAGGACUGUUACUUUGAAAAAAUUAGAGUGUUUAAAGCAGGCUCGCGCUUGAAUACAUUAGCAUGGAAUAAUGAAAUAGGACGUUUGAUUCUAUUUUGUUGGUUUCUAGGAUCGACGUAAUGAUUAAUAGGGAUAGUUGGGGGCAUUAGUAUUCAAUUGUCGGAGGUGAAAUUCUUGGAUUUAUUGAAGACUAACUACUGCGAAAGCAUUUGCCAAGGAUGUUUUCAUUAAUCAAGAACGAAAGUUAGGGGAUCGAAGACGAUCAGAUACCGUCGUAGUCUUAACCAUAAACUAUGCCGACUAGGGAUCGGAUGAUGUUAAUUUUUUAAUGACUCAUUCGGCACCUUACGGGAAAC